This 700-nucleotide long non-coding RNA is filed under the name Marmota monax (woodchuck). Lineage: Eukaryota; Metazoa; Chordata; Mammalia; Rodentia; Sciuridae. The record is from RNAcentral.
GUGAGGCACUGCGUUUGAUCCUCAGUACCACAUAAAAAUAAAUAAAUAAAAUUAAGGUAUUGUGUCUAACUACAACUAAAAAUAAUAAUAAUAAGAGUAAACAGGAUAAUGUAUGUGUAAAUACAGCAUAGAACCUGGCCUAUAGAAUUCAUUUAAAUAUUAGUUAUUAUUAUUAUAGUCAUUAACUUCACCUCUUUAAAGGUUCAGGCUUUGGUUGUUCUCUAGUGACUGGAAGCCGUCAUCUCUUUUGUGAUUAGUGAGGAAAUUAAAUACAGCAGGAACAGAUGAUCACCCACAUUGUGGGCUAAUCAAUCAUACAGGUGUUUAUUAUGUGCCAUUGUUUUAUUUUAAAGAACUUACAAAUAUAGACCUAGGUGGGACGUCAGGGAUCAUUUAGUUCCACUUUUCCACCCUGUGCUUCCAUGCAUCUUCCAAUAUCACCACUGAGUAGGUACCUGCUGUAUAUCACACAUGCAGGCAUACAGGACAUAGGGAGUUCACUUCCUUGCCUAUACCAUGAGCCGAAGUCCCCUUCCCCUUAGAUUUUGCUUGUUAGUUACUCUCCUCCAAGACAACAACAAAGGGGCCAUCUCUUUCAUCAGAGAAUAUAGGGACUUUACCUAGAUAGAAUUUCUGAGCUUUUCAAGGGCCUGAUUUAAGAAAAUAGUUGAAUAAACAAACCAACAACGCCGCCGCCGCC